CUUGAAGAAUAAUAGUAGUAAGUUGAUAAAAAUUUUGUACAUACACUAAGAAUAUUUUUUUUAUUGCUUUUUUAAAUAAAAAAAAAAAAUAGUAUAUAUAAUAUAUGAUAGUAAUAUUUUUAUGUAACUGUUUUAAAUAGUUUACAAAAAAAAAAAAGAAAAUGCACAUAUGUAUAUAUGUAAUAAAAGUGUGUUGACAGUGUGUAUAUAUAUACAUAUAUAUAUGCAUGUACUUAUUUGAUAAUUUCAAGUCUUUUUACUGCUAGUAAAAUAAUUAUACACAAUUAUUUUACUCUAUAUUUGUUAUGAUAUGUGUUUAACAAAGUGUUAUACUAAUAAAUGUAUGUGUAUAUAUAUAUAUAUAUAUAUAUAUAUAUAUAUAUAUAUAUAUAUAUGUAUAGGUGUGUAUAUAUAUAUACAAAAUAAUUUGUUACAUAUAUAUAUAUAUAUAUAUAUAUAUAUUUCCAUAUCAUUUUUAAUCCACAAUAUUGUUACACUUGACUUUGAACCUCAUACUGUAUUUAUUUUUAAUAGUGUGCUUUUGUACAGUUGCAUAUAUUUUUGUAUUUAUUAAUAUGUAUAACUUUAUGCAUAUUAUGGUAAUAAUAACCAUUUUAGACAAGGUGUAUAUUUUAUAAUCACAAUAAUAAUGUGUCAUUCUGUUGGUAAAUAAAACAUAUACAUAUAAAUAAGCUCAAAAUAACAUUAUUUUUUUAUCUAAACCAAAAGAGAUGGAGCAUAGUGAAAAUUUAAAAAGGUAAGUUUCUUUUUUUUUAUCUGUUAUAAAUCUUUGAAUUUACCGAUAUUUUGCACUUUUUUAUUAUUACAUGUAUUCUUUUUAGAAAAAAACAUUAACGAGAAUAAUUUAAAUUUUGAAAAGUUUAAAAAAAAAUGCUUUUGAAAUAAUUGAGUAUAAAGAUAAAAUAAUAAGAAUGUUAUGUGCUAUAUUAGAAGUACAAGGAACUACUACUAUAAAUAUUAAAGAGUUUAUAUCAAACUUAAGUACAACAGAUCAAAUGAAAGAUCUCUUAUUUGAUAGCUCUGAAAACGACUUAAAAUCAAAUAACAAAAAAACGUCCUCUAGAAAAAGAACCCUAAUAACUAUUCCUAAGUUCAAAAAAUUAAAAAAAAAAAAUGAGCUAAAUAUAUUUUCAAGCCCAAAUAAAAUAAAUGACGAGUUAAAUAAAGAAAAGAAUUUUUCUGAUUCUAUUCUAAGUUCUUAUAAAUUAUUUUUAACCGAAAAACAAAAUGAAAAUAAAAUAGAAAAAGAACAGAUAAAUGAUGAGACUUUUUCUGACAUACAAAAUAUAUCAAAAGAAAAUUCCGAUAUCGAAACAGAACUAAAUCUAAAUAAAACUGGCAGUGUAUCUUUGAUAAACUCUAAAUCAAAUAAGAGUUUUAUUGACAGCCAUAAAAAGGCAUUAGAAAAUUUCCAAAAGGAUGAUGCAAAUUUUGAAUGUACAUAUAAUUGUAAAAGCGAAAAAGGACAAAAAAGUUCUAACUUAAGCACAAAAAUUAAUGAUUUAAAUGUUGAACAAUGUCAACUGUGUUUAAUGCCUAAUACGGAAUCGCUACAUGGAAAUUUCCCUCCCCUCUUUUAUAAACUAAGUUGUGGCCACGUUUUUCAUUUAAUGUGUAUCUAUGAAACUGUUAUAAGAAGGGAAUGUAGAAAGACUUGUUGUAUUUGUCAUACUGACUUGAGUGAAGCAGAUAAAAAUGAAAUUGUAAACAAAGUUAAAUGGGAAAAAAAAGGAAAAUGAAAAAAGAAGCAAACUUUUAUUUAAAGUAAUGAAAUUACAAGCCGAAAACAAUAAUUAAAAAUAAACAAAUAAAUAAGAAACCA
RNAcentral lists this long non-coding RNA (1843 nucleotides) under Piliocolobus tephrosceles (Ugandan red Colobus). Its description in RNAcentral is "lncRNA (ENSPTEG00000017643.1)". The record is from RNAcentral. Lineage: Eukaryota; Metazoa; Chordata; Mammalia; Primates; Cercopithecidae.